AUUGAACGCUGGCGGCAGGCCUAACACAUGCAAGUCGAGCGAGCGGCGGACGGGUGAGUAAUGUCUGGUACACUGCCUGAUGGAGGGGGAUAACUACUGGAAACGGUAGCUAAUACCGCAUACCAUCAGAUUUGCCCAGAUGGGAUUAGCUAGUAGGUGGGGUAACGGCUCACCUAGGCGACGAUCCCUAGCUGGUCUGAGCGGAUGACGAGCCACACGGGAACUGAGACACGGUCCAGACUCCUACGGGAGGCAGCAGUGGGGAAGAUUGCACAAUGGGCGCAAGCCUGAUGCAGCCAUGCCGCGUGUGUGAAGAAGGCCUUCGGGUUGUAAAGCACUUUCAGCGGGGAGGCGUUACCCGCAGAAGAAGCACCGGCUAACUCCGUGCCAGCCGCCGCGGUAAUAC
RNAcentral lists this ribosomal RNA (406 nucleotides) under uncultured bacterium. RNAcentral describes it as "partial 16S ribosomal RNA". It matches the Rfam family "Bacterial small subunit ribosomal RNA", at positions 30 to 526 of the family's 1533-position model. The record is from RNAcentral.